RNAcentral lists this ribosomal RNA (876 nucleotides) under Clostridioides difficile. RNAcentral's name for it is "bacterial LSU rRNA". It matches the Rfam family "Bacterial large subunit ribosomal RNA", at positions 1413 to 2297 of the family's 2925-position model. The record is from RNAcentral. Lineage: Bacteria; Bacillati; Bacillota; Clostridia; Peptostreptococcales; Peptostreptococcaceae.
AGGUGAUGGACAACAGGUUGAUAUUCCUGUACUACCGAUAACCGUUAGUGGGAAGGGGUGACACAGAAGGAUAAGCUAAGCACACUGUUGGUUAUGUGUGCCCAAGCAUUGAGGCAGUCAAAGUAGUUAAAUCCGCUUUGAUAAUGCUGGGAUGUGAUGGGGAGCGAAAUUUAGUAGCGAAGUAGCUGAUUUCACACUGUCAAGAAAAGUCUCUAUCUAGGGUAAAGGUACCCGUACCGCAAACCGACACAGGUGGGUGAGGAGAGUAUCCUAAGGCCAGCGAGAGAACUGUUGUUAAGGAACUCGGCAAAAUGACCCCGUAACUUAGGGAUAAGGGGUGCCACCAUCAGGUGGCCGCAGAGAAUAGGCCCAAGCGACUUUUUACCAAAAACAUAGGUUUCUGAUAAGUCGAAAGACUAUGUAUAGGAGGUGACGCCUGCCCGGUGCUGGAAUGUUAAGCGGAUCUGUUAGAGCAAUUUAAGUAGUGAACGUAAGCUCCAGUAAACCGCGGCCGUAACUAUAACGGUCCUAAGGUAGCGAAAUUCCUUGUCGGGUAAGUUCCGACCCGCACGAAAGGCGUAACGAUUUGGGCACUGUCUCAACAACAGACUCGGUGAAAUUGUAAUUCCGGUGAAGAUGCCGGAUACCUGCGACAGGACGGAAAGACCCCAUGGAGCUUUACUGUAGCUUGACAUUGGGUCUUGGUACUACAUGUACAGGAUAGGUGGGAGGCUUUGAAACCAGGACGCCAGUUUUGGCGGAGCCAUCCUUGGGAUACCACCCUUGUAGUACUGGGACUCUAACCAUAGGCCAUGAAUCUGGUCUUGGGACACUGUCAGGUGGGCAGUUUGACUGGGGCGGUCGCCUCCCAAAAGG